CCCUUUUCCUCUUUUAUAGCAAGAGACUUUCCUCCCCACACACUCUUCUCUGAGAGGGACCCAGGAGCCCACAGCUGGAAGAGACCCUGCUCAUUUCCUCACACAUCUCAGUGCCUUACACUCAGGACCACCAUGUGCUAUGGGAAGCAAACGAUUUCAUCAUUUGAAGAUUUCAAGGAUUUAAUGCACCAGAGAACAGACUGUUACAUAGAUCGCAUUAAACAUGUGGUAAGUCAGGAUGGAGAUUCAAUAGACCUAGAAGAUAUUCAUAAUUUAGCCUAUCAGGAGCAGGGAGAGAGAGAGAGAGAGAGAGAGAGAGAAGAAGAAGAGAAGGAGGAAGAAG
Long non-coding RNA from Dromiciops gliroides (monito del monte), 343 nucleotides. RefSeq lists it as uncharacterized. The record is from RefSeq and is a predicted model, not a curated record. Lineage: Eukaryota; Metazoa; Chordata; Mammalia; Microbiotheria; Microbiotheriidae. The transcript is spliced from 6 exons.